This 489-nucleotide long non-coding RNA is filed under the name Sus scrofa (pig). Its description in RNAcentral is "lncRNA (ENSSSCG00030065001.1)". Lineage: Eukaryota; Metazoa; Chordata; Mammalia; Artiodactyla; Suidae. The record is from RNAcentral.
CCAAUGACUGCAAUGUACUUCCCAUUUCUCCUUUUUAUGCACGGAAAUUUUUAUUAUAAUUGCCUUGUUGCCAUCUCACUGUCAUAGUUAUGUAUAUGGGGGAAGGGAGCAAAUAAACUUGUCUGCUUUGUCCACAGAUUUUUGGAGUAAGAGGAGUCAUAUGCAAAAAGCUGUACCCAAGGGAUGUCAUCCACUGCUGGACCAGAUGCAUUUCGUGAGAUGCUUGACUCUGAGUCCAAUUUUUGACAGCCUUGGAAGAAGGAGGAGAGAAAGACCAGUCUCUCUUUGGAAAAUACCAUCUUAAAAAAACUUGGAAACAACAGAUUUCUAGACUGGGCUGAAGGAGGAACCUGAGAACUGCCAGGUGAGACCUGACCAUCAGCUUCAGGGGGAAGGAACCUGGUUUAUCAAACUCACUGCUACGUCUAAGUGCAACCAGCAACACAAGUCUACUAUUAGCUGGAAAUAAUAAACUGCUCAAUGAAACCA